UAAGAGGUCCAGCCUGCCCAGUGACACCAGUUCAACGGCCGCGGUAUCCUGACCGUGCGAAGGUAGCGUAAUCACUUGUCUUCUAAAUUAAGACUAGUAUGAAGGGCACCACGAGAAUCAAACUGUCUCCUUUCUCUAAUCUGUGAAACUAAUCUCCCCGUGAAGAAGCGGGGAUUCUAAUAUAAGACGAGAAGACCCUGUGGAGCUUAAGACAAAAGUACUAUUGCCCCAAACAUCUUAGUAUUAAGUCUUAGGUUGGGGCGACCACGGAGUAAAAACUACCCUCCAUGCUGAACGGAACCUCCUUAAACAAGAGCCACAGCUCUAUGAAUCAACAAAUUGACACACUUGACCCAAUUAAUUGAUCAACGAAACAAGUUACCCCAGG
RNAcentral lists this ribosomal RNA (388 nucleotides) under Ischnocnema parva. RNAcentral describes it as "partial 16S ribosomal RNA". It matches the Rfam family "Bacterial large subunit ribosomal RNA", at positions 1846 to 2472 of the family's 2925-position model. The record is from RNAcentral. Lineage: Eukaryota; Metazoa; Chordata; Amphibia; Anura; Brachycephalidae.